CCUACGGGUGACAGCAGUGAGGAAUAUUGGUCAAUGGCCGGAAGGCUGAACCAGCCAUGCCGCGUGAAGGUCAGUGCCCUAUUGGCUUUUAACUUCUUUUUUUCGGGAGCAAUAAUGGUCCCGUGUGGCCAGACUAGAGUACCGUUCGAAUAAGCAUCGGCUAACUCCGUGCCAGCCGCCGCGGUUAUUCGGAGGAUCCGGGCGUUUUCCGGUUUUAUUGGGUUUAAAGGGAGAGUAGAUGGGUUGUGAAGUCAGUUGUGAAAGUUUUCGGCUCAACCGUAAAAGUGCAAUUGAUACUGGCAGUCUUGAGUACAGUCGAGGUAGGCGGAAGUCGUGGUGUAGCGGUGAAAUGCUUAGAUAUCACGAAGAACCCCGAUUGCGAAGGCAGCUUACUAAACUGUGACUGACAUUGAUGCUCGAAAGUGUGGGUAUCAAACAGGAUUAGAUACCCCGGUAGUC
This 459-nucleotide ribosomal RNA is filed under the name uncultured bacterium. RNAcentral describes it as "partial 16S ribosomal RNA". It matches the Rfam family "Bacterial small subunit ribosomal RNA", at positions 338 to 795 of the family's 1533-position model. The record is from RNAcentral.